CUUGGUAGAGCUUUCUCCUGUGAACCUGGAAUCUUCUGACACAGUUAUUUGCUUCUGAUUUGCUGCUAUUCUGAGAAUUGCACGAAGACUCUUCAUGGUGAUGUGACAACUGGAAGAAAAAGAUGAGCUCAUCUUAAUAGUAGCACUUAGAGACUUACCUGAAUAAAUUUAACUUUAAAACGUGCCGUUCAACCAGGCCCUGGUGCUCAGUCAGUUGUAUGAUGUCCAGCUGAAUCAACAUACCUUUCUGCUAUUUUGUGGGGUAUUUCUGAAUGCACCAUAUCUAUUAUUUGGCAACAACACUUCCAUCUCUUCUUGCAGCCAAAAUUAAAUUUGGGGUAUACCAGAACUUGAGAUUUUCCUAUUGCAGAAAGGACCCAGCAAGCACUUAGCAGUGCAUUUUGCAACCACAGCAUCAGUGAAGCCAUUUCCUAAGGUCUCCUCAUAUAAGCCACUACUUCCAAGACCAACAAACUGCAAUUGGAGGUAUCCUGAAGGGCAGUGAGAUGUAUUUCAAGGUAAUGAUCUAAACAAAUUGGAUGAAAUAACUAAAGAUGCUGGAUGCUGUUUAUUCUGCCUUCCUGUAAGCUUUUGGUAAACUGCAGCUGUAUUUUCACAAAUAUUCUUGAGCUCAUGUAGCUUAACCCAGAGUGUUAAUGUACGUUAUCACCACUUCUUGGUGUGCAAGAGCCUCAGAUGAGUGAGACCCCUGGGAGUGAUUGACUUUGCCUGUGGCAGUUUUGUAUUAUGGGCUCGUAAUUGUGAAUUAUAGAUACAGCAGAAGCACUUGCAUGAGAUGCAGGCAGAACUGGGGAGAAGAUGGGAGGAGCUGAUGGAUGAACUUUCAGCAGCAGGAGGACUUGAGGUCCUCCUGCCCUGGCAGCUGAGCUUGAUGCAGAUGUGACUUUGGGAUAUGAGGAUGCUGCUCCUAUUGAUUUCUUUGGGAACAAGAUGACUACAUACGUAACAGGCUUCAACCAACUGUAUCCAAACCUUCUGCUCAUGAGGAGAUUGAUAAUAUUUCAGAGACAAAUUCUUUUUUUUUCACUAGGCUAACAAGUGCUCAUUUAAUUUGCAUCCUGAAACUAAACGACCACAAACAAAGUUCUUUGAAGGGAAUCUUCUUCUUUCAUUCUGUUUUCAUUUAAGGAAAACAGAGAUUUCCAUGUAUAAUUUGCAGGGCUUAAAUAUCCUACUUAGUGUUGUUGUUUCUAUUUUUUUUCCUCAGCAAUUAUGUAGAGUCUUGCACAAAUCUGAUGAGGGAAAGCUGGAAUUUACAUGUUUCUUCCUCUGUUUCACUCUGUGCAUAAUCACCAUCUAUUCAUUGCCUUUACAAACUCCAUUCAUACACCCACUUUCCACACUAGUGCCAGUGGGCAUUUUAAUGCUCUUUUUGCAGGCCUGUUCUGUGUAUUGAAACUCACAUUGGUCUGAAAGUGAUGUUACCACUUUUGACCUGCAUGUCCUCAAGAAGAAAUGAGCUGCAGCAAAGCUUGCUACAACAGUAGGACUGGGUUAGAAUGAGUUGGCUGUUAAAGUAAAUAUUGCUCUUUCUGUUACCAUCCUCUGGCUGAGAUUCAAGUCAGUGGUGAUGGCGCAGCCAGCAGACCCAACUCUGAGCUAUUUCUUGUCAAUUAACACGCUUUGAGAAGUCCCUUUGUAAUGGGGGAAGAAGCAACUUGCAGGUCAAUAAAAUCUGAUUUCAGGCCAUAGGCUGAGUCAGCACCUGGUGAGAGUUCAGAGCACUUCUGUGACCAGCGGUGAGCUCCCAGGGCUUUGGCUGCUGGUGGCCAGUUGUGCUGUGCAGGCCAAGGCCGUUAGUCACCAGUCAUCCACUCACUUCCUUGUUAAACGCUAAGGUGGACGUUUAAGGCAGAACAUUUAGGUAGAGUUUAUUUCAGUUUGAGUCUGUCCUGAAAUAAUACUGAACAACGCCCAGGAGUUGGGUUUAGUGCAUAUUGAACAAUUCUAUCUGACUGCAGUGUGGACAGAAAAUUCCACUUUGAAAUUUAUAUUUUAAGAAAACUCUUUUAUUAGCUCCUGCAUUCUGAUUCUCAAGACGUGGAUUUCACGUGGUCUGGAGCUGUGCAUAAAUCUGCCAUGUGAUAAUCUGCGUGCAUGUGAAAUAGAUUUGAAAGUAGUGGAUGCAAGAUCCAGUGUUUCCUUGCUUGUCAUGGACGUGUGGGUUGUUAUCUUUGGUGAAAAUGGGCUCAGAGCUUUUAGUUAGUGCAAGUGAGUGAUGUACGCCAACAGCAGAGAAAACAUGGGAUCAGUCAGCCAAUAUUCACUCCUACUGUGGAGUUCUCCUCUUUGUGUUGCAAUGGGAUGCAGAGGUAGAGAGAGACACGGCUGAAAAAGCUGCCGUCCUUUGGAGUGAGCAUUCAGAGAAGUUGUUCAUAAUCUAUUUUCCUAAUACUGGGUCUGAAUGUAAAUGUAAUGGCAGGAGGGAGGAUUUAAGCCAUUGGGUCCUUUCUGAGCUGUACAGAAGUGCAAGGUGUGGCUGCCUUUUCUGACAGCUGUCAUUGAGAAGCGUGUACAGAUUUCUGUUUUAUUGCUGAGCCUUUUUGGUCCCAGUACCAAGUGUGGAGCCAUGUCACUGAUAGUUGCUGGGCACUUGGGAAGGCAUGACUUUACUGAAAGUUUGCUUGCCAAAAGGGGUGCAGAAUGCACUGGUUCCUGUCAGGUAUUCACCCGGAUGAGCCUUGGAGCUCAUAGAAGUCUCUUCUGAACGGCAGUCUUUCCUGACCAGCAAGUGGUUUAUUGGCUUAGAGAACAGAAUCUGCUUUCUCACAAAUGCACUACGUUAUGCGUACCUCCUCAAAAUGAGUCACAAAGAAAGCCUCUGUUGGCAUUACGAACCGGGAGGGAAAGACAGGGUGACUUUCUGCUUUGUCAUCAGUUCAGGCCACAGUAAACAAUCCAGAACUCCCAGUGGAUUCACUGGUCUCCAAAUGGUAGCAUAAAAACAACAGGAGAGCUGAAUCAGCUGCAAUGGGCCAUGUUGCAAUUUCAUGACUUCCACUUGUUUUCUCUUGGAUCUGCCCAGGAAAGGUUUGACUGCUGGUGGCAGUUGGUUUGCUUUGCUUUUUUUAGCUUCUCAUACCAUGCAGGGCUGAGGAGAGCACGGCAUUGGCGGCAGUGCUGGGAGAUGGACCAGUUGUUCAGAAGCCGUACAGUUGGAUUAGUGUAGGCCACAGGUGAAAGUUUGGCUGUCACAGCUCAGCUUUCACUCGCUGCUACAUAUCAGUGGUUUGUCUGCGCUGGGGAAGGCAGGAUGAGCCUUGCAGAAACACAGCUCCUGAUGGGGUCUGGUUUGCAAGAAUGGGCUUUUAUUACACAUGAGCUCAAAUCCUCUUCAGCAACCCCUUCAAAAUAGGGGGCGGUCAGAACUUAACUUCCCUGUGUGGUUUGCUUGUUUUGCAGUGAAGCCAGCAUGAGCAUGAAUGUGUUAAACUGAAAACAGGAACUGGUGACAGGCAAAAUAGAGGAAGGAUAUGAGUUAAAAACAGUGAACUGUACUCCUGUCCCUCCUUCCCACCCAUGCCAUACGAUAGAGGACAGAAGCUGAUAUUAUCCCAAGGUGUUUUAUGUAUUUUCUCUGGCUUCCCCACGCUUGAUACAGAGCUUGUAUUUCUUCUCAGAGAGCUAUAUGGUUGAAAAUAACUAAUUUAAUAAUAGCUUCCAGAUAAAUAAAUAGGUGUAGACAGUUCCAUACUUUCCUGUAAAACCAUGGACAGCAAGUUGCUCUCCUACAGGGAAAUUCUGUUUUCCCCCCUUUCUCCUCUUCUUCCAGCUGGGUAGAGAGAGCACGUGUUUUUUGAACUGUGAUGUCUUUCUCCUCAUCCAUACGUCAUUUGUUCUCUGUCUACAGAGUCAUACUGUGCAUAAAAAUGAGUACUUCCAUUUCCACUGAUUGGGUUAGUAUUUUUUUCUACUUGGUGAUGUUUUUACCAGUUUUUCCAGACACUGGCAUGUGUCUAUAGUAAGAGUAUCUUUUUAAGUGGUAUCUAUCCCUAGCUAGGUGUUGGAGCUUCAGGGGAGGAAUCUGCGGUUUGUUUGGAUCCCUACAGCCAUCAGGGAGGGGAGUAACAGCAAACCCUUCCUUAAUGCAGGAUUUGGGUUGCCGCCAUGUUGUGGUAUGCUCAUCCUUCCAUUGGUAAAAAUCUGUGUGAAAGGAGGCUAGGGCAGAAAAAAGACCAAUAUGUAUUCACAGCAGGUACUCUGUCUCCUGUUAUCUAAAUUCUGUGCAAGCAGUGAGCGCUGAUACAGCUCCAUGCCAGCUCUGAGACCACUUAACGCAAAAUAAACAUCUUCGCAGCAUGGCCUGAUACAUGCUCCCUUUAGAGUUGCAGGCACCUCCAAUUAAUCAUGCUGCCUAUGCAGGAAGAGAAUUUAGGAAUCAGAGGACAUUGCUAGACUUAAUGGUCUGAUGGAGAGGUGGGCAGCAACUCAACGUUAAGGGUAAGUGGGCUAUGCUCCCAACCAAGUGAGCAGUGGCAGCCACUCCUUGCCUUGCCUCUCCUGCUCGGUGAGCAAUGUCUUGUCUAUAUGCUGCAAAAUCACAGGCUUUAAUGAGCAGAGUUCUUGGUUCUGGCUUGCAGGAUGUAUUGGUGCUGUGGGGCAGUGCUCAGAGCUGUGCACAUGUUUUUGACUAAACAGCCUUCCCUCCUUUGUGAGAAAAGGCUUUUAUAUUGUAGCUCAGCUGGCAGAUCCCUGCCAUAAAUCUAUGGGUUGACCAAGCCAAAUGACUUCUUGAAAUGUUAAUGAAUGAGAUGUGACCGGUACUCUGGAGUUGGAGUGUCUGUGCGUAGCAUUCUGGGUCAGCAGAGGGGAAUCACCUGCUCCCUGUUUCGAGUGUGGUCCUCAUUAAGUGCCAUUGGCCCCAGCUGUGCAUCUUAAUAACCAUGUAAGCUUUUGGUUUUUGCUUUAAUUCUGGUUAUCUUGAGGAGCGUUGUAUCUUUAAGCGUCAAAAAUGGCACCAAUUACACAAAAUAAGUGGAGGGCUAAAAUCAGAGUAAGAAGGUUUCAGUCAUGGAGCAAGUUGGGCUUUUCAUUGAGUGCUUGGUGCUGCACUCUGCAGGCACUCAAUGCUGCACGGAGCCCAGAGCCAAAGCCAGUCACUGCCCCAAGAAAUGGGAGGUUAGA
Molecule: non-coding RNA, 5145 nt
Organism: Meleagris gallopavo (turkey)
Lineage: Eukaryota; Metazoa; Chordata; Aves; Galliformes; Phasianidae
Source: RefSeq, a predicted model, not a curated record